RNAcentral lists this ribosomal RNA (434 nucleotides) under Synergistetes bacterium oral taxon D65. RNAcentral describes it as "bacterial SSU rRNA". It matches the Rfam family "Bacterial small subunit ribosomal RNA", at positions 28 to 481 of the family's 1533-position model. Lineage: Bacteria; Thermotogati; Synergistota. The record is from RNAcentral.
GAUGAACGCUGGCGGCGUGCGUAACACAUGCAAGUUGAACGACGGUGUCAUGAAGUGGUAACACGGAAUGGCAUACGGAGUAGCGGACGGGUGAGUACAACAUGAGAAGCUGUCCUUCAGUGGGGGACAACGUCUGGAAGCGGACCCUAAUACCCCAUAGUCCGAGAGGUUAAAGGCAGCGAUGCGCGGCAGGAGGAGCUCGUGUCCUAUCAGCUGGUUGGUGAGGUAACGGCUCACCAAGGCUUCGACGGGUAGCCGGCCUGAGAGGGUGACCGGCCACACUGGAACUGAGAAACGGUCCAGACUCCUACGGGAGGCAGCAGUGGGGAAUAUUGGGCAAUGGGAGGAAUCCUGACCCAGCGACCCGCGUGAACGAAGGCGGCCUUCGGGUUGUAAAGUUCUUUUAUGUGGGAAGAAUGAAGUGACGGUACCAC